AUGACCUGUGAUAAGUCUGACCAACUGUAAGUAUGAGAGUGUGCGUCGGGCUGCUCAGCAGUGUGGCUUACGGGAAGCAGGGGAGAAUGAUGAGUGGAACCUCUAUUGGACAGACUAUUCAGUCUCACUGGAUCGGGUAAUGGAAAUGAAAAGUUACCAGAAAAUCAACCACUUCCCUGGGAUGAGUGAAAUCUGUAGGAAGGAUUUGCUGGCCAGGAACAUGAGCAGGAUGCUGAAGCUCUUUCCAAAAGAAUUUAACUUCUUUCCCAGGACCUGGUGUCUUCCUGCUGACUACGGAGAUUUGCAGACCUAUAGCAGAUCAAGGAAACAUAAGACAUACAUCUGUAAGCCCGACUCCGGCUGUCAGGGGAGAGGCAUCUUCAUCACCAGAUCUGUGAAAGACAUAAAACCUGGAGAGGAUAUGAUCUGCCAGCUCUACAUCUCAAGGCCUUUUAUUAUUGAUCGUUUUAAGUUUGAUCUGAGGAUUUACGUGCUGGUGACAUCAUGUGACCCUCUGAGGAUAUUUGUCUAUAAUGAGGGCCUUGCACGUUUUGCUACAUCAGCCUACUCUGAUCCCUCACACAGUAAUCUGGAUGAUAUCUGCAUGCACCUGACUAAUUAUUCCAUUAACAAGCACAGUACUAAUUUUGUCCGAGAUGAAGAUUCUGGAAGUAAGAGGAAGCUCUCCACCUUUAAUAAGUACAUGCAGAAACAUGGCUAUGAUACCGACCAGAUGUGGCUGGAUAUAGAAGAUGUUAUUAUUAAAACCCUGAUAUCAGCACAUCCUAUUAUCAAACAUAACUAUCACACUUGCUUCCCCAACCACACUGUGGGUAGCGCUUGCUUUGAAAUAUUAGGAUUUGAUGUUCUGUUGGAUCACAAACUCAAACCUUGGUUGCUUGAGGUGAAUCACUCUCCAAGCUUCACCACUGACUCCUGGUUAGACAAAGAAGUAAAGGACCAGCUGCUGUAUGACACUUUGGUUCUGAUAAAUUUAGGGGCCUGUGACAAGAGAAAAAUCCUAGAAGAAGAGAAACAGCGAGGAAAGGAGAGACUCCUGAAGCAAUGCCGUUCUCGAGAGACCAGGGCUGAGGAGUAUAGGAACUGCCAGGCCACUUGGUUGAAACAAGCUGAGAAAUAUGAGGAGAAAAACAUAGGUGGUUUUCGCAGAAUUUACCCCAAAUCUGAUUUGGAGAAAUAUGAUAAGUUUUUCCAGCACAACAAUUCACUCUUUCAGGAGACUGCAGCUUCCAGGGCACGAGAAGAACAUGCUAGGCAGCAGCUACAGGAGCUGCGAAUGAAGCAUGAGCAAAAAACAGCCCAUUUGCGAGAGAAGAAGAUAGAGCUGCUGGGGGAGUCUGGAUCUGAGAAGAUAAAGACUUUCAAACAGAAGUUAGUGAGCAGGGCAGCUACAGCACAAGGAUUAAGACAGCAUUAUCUUUGUUCAGUGUCAGGACCUAGCGCUCCUCUCCUGCUUCACAGUUUCUCAGGUGAAAAAGAAACAAAAAAAGAAUUGGUUAACGGGGAAUCAGGCAUCCCACCAAAAGAGCACCCCAACACUCAUGAGUAUUCAAAUGCACCUGAAAAACAAGUGGUACAGCACUGCAGCUCCAUGCCAAACUUGACAGUGGAGAACUCAACUAGUGCCCCGGACCAGUACAACUCCAACCGUGACCUGAGGGACCGCACAGUACAUGGUCAUCACUCUGCAGCAGAUAUGGACAUCAGAUUAAUAAAAGUGCUUUCCACUCCAGGAGAAUCCAUCUGAGUAGCAGAAACUCCACAGACAAGAGACAAAUGCAACUUCAGAGUGCUCAAACAGUUUUCCAAAAAACAAAUUGUCACCAGUUCAGCCUUCAGGACCUUUUGGUGAUCUCCACCCCAGGUCAAGUGGACCCGCGACCUAGGAAAAACAAUACCCUAACUUCAGGGGAUAUUCUGACGGGCAGGAAUAGCAAUGAACUCCUGCAGUGAUCUGGGACAGGGAGGCAGAACACAGAAGGUACAUUCCAGAGAGAGAAAGGGCAGAUUCGAGGUUGCUACAGCAGGCCUGAGCAGAAUUGCGGCACUGUUUUGCCUCCUGAAGUCUGAGAGAUGCUCACUCCUGUAGACAAUCUGUUCAUCAGGAACUGACAGAAACAUUUUGUUGUUUCUUUUCAAAUAUACUCCUUGGUGAUUGCCUCCAGUUAUACAGCUUCCAUAGCAUGAAACAUCAAUGUGUCACCAAUGACAUUUGCAUUCAAAAAAAAAAAAGUCAGGAGUUUGUGGGUGUCUUGAUGUGAAACUGUUGUACUGGAACUUGAUGUACAUCUCCUCCCUUUGGCAGUGUCUGCUUACUGCCAACUCUUGUUUUAGUUUAGUGAAAAAUUAUUUUGUAAGAAGAAUUCCAGUGUGAUGUCUGCUCUAUUCAACUGAACAUCAGCCAUUAAGGGGAAAAUUCCGUGACUGAAUUUCAGCUGCACAACUCCUAAUAUCAGCUGGAAAUGCACAGCUGAAUCCUUGCAGCAUAAUUUGAAAUUUUACCCUGAAAUGUGCAGGACAUACUUAUUUUAGCUAAUGUAGAGUGAAGUUACAGUCCUGACUUUUAACAAGAGUUCAGAGGAAAUAAAAAUGAGUAGUGUAGUGUAGAGGGGAUUUUACUUUUCAGGGCCACAGAAAGCAAAGGCAGGAAGCUGAAACAAAAAGCACAAUAGGUACAGGCUGUGGCAGAGUAGUGAAGAUAUGUGAAGUAGCUUUCUAUAUUGGCAGAAGAAGUUUUCCAUUAAUGUAGUUAAUCCACCUCUCUGAGGGCUGGUAGCUAGGUGUACAGAAGUAUUCUUCCACUGAUCUAGCUGCGCCUACAUUGGAGAUUUGGUUGACCUCGCGACGACGCACAAGGCACAAAACUUUUCAUAACUCUGAGCGACGUAGCUACGUCAAUCUACAUUUUUAGGUGUAGAUUCCCCCAAACGUGAUGUUGCAGGUCUUUAAUGCUCUCAGAGAGUACUCUACCCUCAUAAAAAUGCCCUUCGUUGGCCCAGUCUCCAUCUGAUUAGUGGGGACAAGGUCUAAAAUCACUGAAAGAAGUUAAUUCAUUGAACGCGGCUGCUUCUUUUUCAAGUUGUGUUUCUGAACAUGCAUGUUUGAUAAUAAAAUUCGUAAUAGCAAUGGCUACUCAGAUCAUGCUGAAAGCCGUAAUACAGAGAGGAUGGAUGGCUGACUGGACAUAUGGAUGUGGUAUGGGACACAAGGAUCAGCAACAUAAGUACUGCUAGGUAGGAAAUGCAUUUGUCUAUUGGAGAUGUGCUAAGAUCUAUCACCUUCUCAUAAUGGAAAGUCUUUUAAAUAUUUGCAGUUGUGAACAAGGAUACCCCCCCAGCUCAUUAUUAAUUAUCAUAUAUAAUGCCAACAACACUCUGCAGAUCUGCAAGAAGGCUCUCGCCCUUCCCAGUGGGCUUUAUAGUUCAAGCAGUGAUUUCUACAAGCGUUGAUUUCAUUGGCAGUUUUACCCAAGUAAGGAAUGCAGGUUUAGGCCCUAAGUUCACAGGGCUAAAUCCUCUGGUCUAAACCACCUUCGAGUUUGCAGUGCUCUCCAGUGGGGCCUGCAGUGACCUCCAGCACAAGUUUAAAAAUCCCAAGAGCUGCUCUAAGUUGCAUCAGCUUGUAAUAGUCCCCAAGGAGCCUAUACACCUGUAAGGUUCAUUGGAGCACAGUGCAUUUAGGUCUUGCCCCGUACUUGGGGAGGCACGCGGGCCCUGGCAUAGAACCAGCUAGUCUAGCUUUAAACCAUCUGAGGAUUGCUCCACACCAAGGGAAUUCUCAGCCCCCUCAGCUUUAUACCAACUGAGGAUUUGUGCAGGCCAAGGGAAUCCCUACUGCACACUCAGUGGGUGCAGUUUUAAGAUCUCUUUGCACCAUGUUCCAAGAUUGGGCCCAUAGCAACCAUUUCCAAAUUAUUUCACACGUUUUCCUCAGUAGGAAUAGAAGUGUAAAUAAAAGGAACAAGAUUAUUUCUCCAGAACAGGGAGGAACUUAGCCUGAGCAAGUGAGAACUAGAUGAUAAUUACUAUUCAUUAUUUUACAGUGCCUAAAGAUGUGGUAGAGCUGAAUACAAGCAGAAAGAGAGAGAUUCCUGCUCAAAGAAUUUACAGUAUCGUAUUAGACAUGACAGAACAACUGGGUAUAUUUAAUAGUAUGGGAGGGUGGAGGUGAGGAAGAUCAAGAAUUCCAGCAACAAGACUUAGUUUCUUGAAUUAGGCUCAUGUAAUGGAAUUUCUACCAGCAGGAGGAAGAGGUUAUUUUCUUUAGUAGUUAAUAUUAUUAGAGAUUAUAGGCUCCUUUAUUGCGGGGUAUUACAGAAGGCUAUUUUAAGACUAUGUAGUCUCUUAAUGAUCUUUGAUCUUUUACAGUAUUAAAGGGAAUGUUUCAAGGGAGAAUAUUGAACUAUCUGAGAAACAGUGUUUCUGUUCUUACAAUUGGAAACGUUCAGAGGUGGUCCAAAGGGGGGAUCACUUUUUUAACUUCUAAUUCCCCCACUGCCACCCUUCCUUCGCACACGUUCAUGGUCUGAUCCAGAUUGAGAUAGUUGUAGGAAAAGAGGCUCCAAGGAAAUCAAGAAGGAACUUCUAGGCCAUGAUCUUUGCAACAAGCAGUUUCUUUGGAAUUGGAAACCUGUCUUCUACAUUAGGGUUCAUUGGGCUGUUGCUCAGGAACAGCAUCACUUCAAAGCAAUCUCUUCCUUAAAGGCAUCAACAAUAUGUAUUGAGGCCCUUCCCUCUGGGAGGGGCUUGAAUUUGCAUGGACUUUCAACAUGAUUAUAACAAUCAGGGCAGAGCUGGCUCUAAUUAAAUGUUAAAGAUGAAAUUGAAUGUUUUGGAAAAAAAUAUAUAUAUUAACCAUCACAUACCAUCCAGAGACUAGCGGUGGGCUUAAAAUGCACAAAUUAAAUACAUUUUUAAAACAAGAUCUUUGGAAAUCCCAUUUCCUUGGCAAGUUCCGAGUUUGAUUCCAGAUUUCCCCUGCAAACAGCACUUAAGGUCCCAAUCCAGCAAACAGGAGUUUUUGUGACAAUUGUCAUUCUUUUAGCUAUGGAUUUACCUCUCUUAUUUGGGAUAUGAAAUAAUUUUUAAUUUGUUUUUCCAAAAGCCUCUAAUUCAUCAUUAUCAGUACAGAAGCCCAGGACUAUAUGUUCCAAGCUGUGAAACCAUUUUAAAGAGAGCUGUUGAAUAAUAUUUAUCAGAUAAUUAUUUGUGAUUUUCCCCCCAUCAAUCAACAGAUAAAUGGUGUGGAUUUUUUCUCAAUGAUUUAACUAACUCUGAUCAUUAGCAACAGAUAGCUGUUAAGAUAUAAAAGCUACUAAUAGGGGCAUAUUAGAGACAUAGAUUUAGGGCUGCCACAUCUUUAACUACUUUGCAAUGAAUUACAUUUGAUUAGCUUUUAGGGACAAUGGAAAAAUUCUUUUAGGAGUGACAUAAAGCUAAGUAGUGCUGAGCCUAGGUAAUAAAUGCACCUUUGUUUAAUUGCUGGACAUUAAAAUACUCUUGAAACAUCCUCUCAAAAACACUUAUUGCCAUUACCUAACUAAAAUUAACCUGGGAAAUGACAAAAAUAGACCAGUCCUUCUCUUAACUAGCUGACAGAGACAAAGGAAUAUUUGCAGUUGAAAGAGCAAGUUCAGGGAGAUGCUUGGGGACAAAGGAUUACACAGCAAAAAAUGUAGUAUAAAACACAGCAUUUUUAUUUUAAGCCUGUAACUGCAUGGCAUACUGAGAAAGCUUGUAGGUGGUACCUGCUCGGUCAGCAGUGCUUUUGGCAUUUUUCUCCAUUUGUGCUCAUUAAAGGAUGGCUUGCUAAGGCUCUCUUUCCUUCAUCUGCUAGUUCUCUGUUAAUAUAUGGAUUUUUGAUGACGGUCCACCCCUUAUUUUGUGUUUAGAGACAAGUUUAUUAAUCUUAUUUAGGCCUAUGUGGCCAAUUAAGUAACUGGUCUGCCUACCCACAUCUGCCUUCUUUUUCUGUUCCUAAUGAAAAGCAAAACUAUCUUAUUCGCCACUCCUUGAAUUACCCACACACCCCACUAUCUUUUAAGAUGUUUUCAAGAUUGCAAGAAUUGCCUCUUUUUUAAAAAUCAUGCAUGUAGGGAAAGAAAUAACUCUCAGAGAAGAGCAUAACCUGAUGACCAUUAGAUUUGGGAUAAGAGCUCAAUCUGUCGAACUGGUGAGCCGUCGUCUUAAAUCAGCAAAGCCCCCAAAUACAGGAGUCAGCUGUUAAAAUUAAGCAUGUGCUGAAGUGCUCCGCUGGAUUGGGUCCAGUAUGCACUGCACUCUGUAGGGCCCUGUCUGAGGAUCCCACGUAGCCUGCCUUGUCCUUAAGACUUUGCUCUUGAGACACACAGGUUCAUCAGCAUCUGAGCCAAAGGAUGGGGAAGUUUUUCAACUGUGAAUGCUCUUCAGCAGCUCAAGUAGGGAAGCUGUCUUCACAAAAUGAGGAUGUUCUCAGCCUUUAGCAUUAAUUCCUCUUAUACUCUCCAACGGCGGUGAAUCAGAUGUGGGAGAGAAACUCACGGAUGUCAGAUUUGUUCACAAGUGCCUGAAUUCCCAUGCAUGUCAAAUGUAUAGCUUAUUUAAUACCAGAAAAAUUACAUUGUCUAUGUAAUAUCUAUACAAAAGUUAAUUGGCCUCUUAUUGCACCUCCUCGCCUGUCCGCCUCAGUAUAUUGCACUAUAUGAUUUUGCAAUUUAAAACAAUACACCUCUAAAAGCAAUGUUUUUAAAAGGCUCAAAGCCUGCAUUGAACAUCAAUGGGAAUUAACCCAAAUUGGGACUUUAGGCAUGUAAAUGCCUUUGAGGAUCUGGGUUUACUCCCUGACCUUCUCUGACAUUCCUUGCUUUCUGUCUUGGAUUUAAUUCCUAUUUUAGUCUGGGAUCCUUUCUGAGCCAAUACGCUCUCCCAUGCAAUGAGGAGGGGACAUUUUUUAGGCACUGAAAAAUCAAAGACCCCCCUACCUACACACACACACUCACUCACUUUUUUGGUGUGUUUAUUUAAACAGUAAGUAAUUGUCUACUAUGGUUAAAUAGACUGAGACAAAUGUAUCACUGCUGCUGUAAUUCCACUGACCUCAGCAGCAUUAAACCAAGGAUGAAUCUGGUCUAUGCCAUCAAUCAAAUGUUGAAGCAGGUGGAGUUACAGCUGUUCAGCCUGUGUGUGAGACAGAUGACAGAGUCUGAAUGUCGAGGAAAAAAACCUCCAAUACAGAGCCCACCUAAAACAUUAACCUUUUUAUUUUUUUAAUACAGACUGAUUCAAUGUAAUUUUGCUACCCUGAGUCUUUCCUAGUUCCUGUAUAAAAAAAUGUAUAGU
Mauremys reevesii (Reeves's turtle) is the source of this 7337-nucleotide RNA transcript. It is a transcript of the gene named tubulin tyrosine ligase like 6, with no coding region annotated. Lineage: Eukaryota; Metazoa; Chordata; Testudines; Geoemydidae. The transcript is spliced from 14 exons. The record is from RefSeq and is a predicted model, not a curated record.